GAGAAAUAGGUGGGGACUACUAAUCCCCUGAACCUACUUAGGUGUAGGAUUUCUUG
RNAcentral lists this transfer RNA (56 nucleotides) under Pomphorhynchus sp. TP-2012. RNAcentral's name for it is "tRNA-Ser". The record is from RNAcentral. Lineage: Eukaryota; Metazoa; Acanthocephala; Palaeacanthocephala; Echinorhynchida; Pomphorhynchidae.